RNAcentral lists this ribosomal RNA (310 nucleotides) under uncultured bacterium. Its description in RNAcentral is "bacterial SSU rRNA". It matches the Rfam family "Bacterial small subunit ribosomal RNA", at positions 28 to 334 of the family's 1533-position model. The record is from RNAcentral.
GAUGAACGCUAGCGGCAGGCCUAACACAUGCAAGUCGAGGGGCAGCACGGUGUAGCAAUACACUGGUGGCGACCGGCGCACGGGUGCGUAACGCGUAUGCAACCUACCCAUAACAGGGGGAUAACACUGAGAAAUUGGUACUAAUACCCCAUAACAUCAGGACCGGCAUCGGUUCUGGUUGAAAACUCCGGUGGUUAUGGAUGGGCAUGCGUUGUAUUAGCUGGUUGGUAAGGUAACGGCUUACCAAGGCGACGAUCAGUAGCCGACCUGAGAGGGUGACCGGCCACAUUGGGACUGAGACACGGCCCAA